UUAAGCGACUAAGCGUACACGGUGGAUGCCCUGGCAGUCAGAGGCGAUGAAGGACGUGCUAAUCUGCGAAAAGCGUCGGUAAGGUGAUAUGAACCGUUACAGCCGGCGAUGUCCGAAUGGGGAAACCCAGUGUGAUUCGUCACACUAUCGUUAACUGAAUACAUAGGUUAACGAGGCGAACCGGGGGAACUGAAACAUCUAAGUACCCCGAGGAAAAGAAAUCAACCGAGAUUCCCCCAGUAGCGGCGAGCGAACGGGGAGCAGCCCAGAGUCUGAAUCAGCUUGUGUGUUAGUGGAACGGUCUGGAAAGUCCGACGGUACAGGGUGAUAGUCCCGUACACCAAAAUGCACAGGCUGUGAACUCGAAGAGUAGGGCGGGACACGUGGUAUCCUGUCUGAAUAUGGGGGGACCAUCCUCCAAGGCUAAAUACUCCUGACUGACCGAUAGUGAACCAGUACCGUGAGGGAAAGGCGAAAAGAACCCCGGCGAGGGGAGUGAAAAAGAACCUGAAACCGUGUACGUACAAGCAGUGGGAGCACCUUCGGGUGUGACUGCGUACCUUUUGUAUAAUGGGUCAGCGACUUAUAUUCUGUAGCAAGGUUAACCGUAUAGGGGAGCCGCAGGGAAACCGAGUCUUAACUGGGCGUUAAGUUGCAGGGUAUAGACCCGAAACCCGGUGAUCUAGCCAUGGGCAGGUUGAAGGUUGGGUAACACUAACUGGAGGACCGAACCGACUAAUGUUGAAAAAUUAGCGGAUGACUUGUGGCUGGGGGUGAAAGGCCAAUCAAACCGGGAGAUAGCUGGUUCUCCCCGAAAGCUAUUUAGGUAGCGCCUCGUGAACUCAUCUUCGGGGGUAGAGCACUGUUUCGGCUAGGGGGUCAUCCCGACUUACCAACCCGAUGCAAACUACGAAUACCGAAGAAUGUUAUCACGGGAGACACACGGCGGGUGCUAACGUCCGUCGUGAAGAGGGAAACAACCCAGACCGCCAGCUAAGGUCCCAAAGUCACAGUUAAGUGGGAAACGAUGUGGGAAGGCACAGACAGCCAGGAUGUUGGCUUAGAAGCAGCCAUCAUUUAAAGAAAGCGUAAUAGCUCACUGGUCGAGUCGGCCUGCGCGGAAGAUGUAACGGGGCUAAACUGUGCACCGAAGCUGCGGCAGCGACACUAUGUGUUGUUGGGUAGGGGAGCGUUCUGUAAGCCUGCGAAGGUGGCCUGUGAGGGUUGCUGGAGGUAUCAGAAGUGCGAAUGCUGACAUAAGUAACGAUAAUGCGGGUGAAAAGCCCGCACGCCGGAAGACCAAGGGUUCCUGUCCAACGUUAAUCGGGGCAGGGUGAGUCGACCCCUAAGGCGAGGCCGAAAGGCGUAGUCGAUGGGAAACAGGUUAAUAUUCCUGUACUUGGUGUUACUGCGAAGGGGGGACGGAGAAGGCUAUGUUAGCCGGGCGACGGUUGUCCCGGUUUAAGCAUGUAGGCGGAGGUUCCAGGUAAAUCCGGUACCUUUUUAACGCUGAGGUGUGAUGACGAGGCACUACGGUGCUGAAGUAACAAAUGCCCUGCUUCCAGGAAAAGCCUCUAAGCAUCAGGUAACAUUAAAUCGUACCCCAAACCGACACAGGUGGUCAGGUAGAGAAUACCAAGGCGCUUGAGAGAACUCGGGUGAAGGAACUAGGCAAAAUGGUGCCGUAACUUCGGGAGAAGGCACGCUGAUAUGUAGGUGAAGCCCCUGCGGGUGGAGCUGAAAUCAGUCGAAGAUACCAGCUGGCUGCAACUGUUUAUUAAAAACACAGCACUGUGCAAACACGAAAGUGGACGUAUACGGUGUGACGCCUGCCCGGUGCCGGAAGGUUAAUUGAUGGGGUUAUCCGUAAGGAGAAGCUCUUGAUCGAAGCCCCGGUAAACGGCGGCCGUAACUAUAACGGUCCUAAGGUAGCGAAAUUCCUUGUCGGGUAAGUUCCGACCUGCACGAAUGGCGUAAUGAUGGCCAGGCUGUCUCCACCCGAGACUCAGUGAAAUUGAACUCGCUGUGAAGAUGCAGUGUACCCGCGGCAAGACGGAAAGACCCCGUGAACCUUUACUAUAGCUUGACACUGAACAUUGAGCCUUGAUGUGUAGGAUAGGUGGGAGGCUUUGAAGCGUGGACGCCAGUCUGCGUGGAGCCAACCUUGAAAUACCACCCUUUAAUGUUUGAUGUUCUAACGUUGGCCCCUGACCGGGGUUGCGGACAGUGUCUGGUGGGUAGUUUGACUGGGGCGGUCUCCUCCCAAAGAGUAACGGAGGAGCACGAAGGUUAGCUAAUCCUGGUCGGACAUCAGGAGGUUAGUGCAAUGGCAUAAGCUAGCUUGACUGCGAGCGUGACGGCGCGAGCAGGUGCGAAAGCAGGUCAUAGUGAUCCGGUGGUUCUGAAUGGAAGGGCCAUCGCUCAACGGAUAAAAGGUACUCCGGGGAUAACAGGCUGAUACCGCCCAAGAGUUCAUAUCGACGGCGGUGUUUGGCACCUCGAUGUCGGCUCAUCACAUCCUGGGGCUGAAGUAGGUCCCAAGGGUAUGGCUGUUCGCCAUUUAAAGUGGUACGCGAGCUGGGUUUAGAACGUCGUGAGACAGUUCGGUCCCUAUCUGCCGUGGGCGCUGGAGAAUUGAGGGGGGCUGCUCCUAGUACGAGAGGACCGGAGUGGACGCAUCACUGGUGUUCGGGUUGUCAUGCCAAUGGCAUUGCCCGGUAGCUAAAUGCGGAAGAGAUAAGUGCUGAAAGCAUCUAAGCACGAAACUUGCCCCGAGAUGAGUUCUCCCUGAGACUUUAAGUCUCCUGAAGGAACGUUAAAGACGAUGACGUUGAUAGGUCGGGUGUGUAAGCGUAGCGAUACGUUGAGCUAACCGAUACUAAUGAACCGUGAGGCUUAACCUU
RNAcentral lists this ribosomal RNA (2903 nucleotides) under Klebsiella aerogenes. Its description in RNAcentral is "23S ribosomal RNA". It matches the Rfam family "Bacterial large subunit ribosomal RNA". Lineage: Bacteria; Pseudomonadati; Pseudomonadota; Gammaproteobacteria; Enterobacterales; Enterobacteriaceae. The record is from RNAcentral.